This 320-nucleotide ribosomal RNA is filed under the name uncultured cyanobacterium. RNAcentral describes it as "bacterial SSU rRNA". It matches the Rfam family "Bacterial small subunit ribosomal RNA", at positions 478 to 796 of the family's 1533-position model. Lineage: Bacteria; Bacillati; Cyanobacteriota. The record is from RNAcentral.
CCUGAGGAAUCAGCCUCGGCUAACUCCGUGCCAGCAGCCGCGGUAAUACGGAGGAGGCAAGCGUUAUCCGGAAUUAUUGGGCGUAAAGCGUCCGCAGGUGGCGAUUCAAGUCUGCUGUCAAAGCACGGGGCUUAACUCCGUUAAGGCAGUGGAAACUGAAUGGCUAGAGUGCCCGUAGGGGUAGAGGGAAUUCCCGGUGUAGCGGUGAAAUGCGUAGAGAUCGGGAAGAACAUCGGUGGCGAAAGCGCUCUACUGGACGGCAACUGACACUCAGGGACGAAAGCUAGGGGAGCGAAUGGGAUUAGAUACCCCCGUAGUCA